This 201-nucleotide ribosomal RNA is filed under the name uncultured bacterium. RNAcentral describes it as "partial 16S ribosomal RNA". It matches the Rfam family "Bacterial small subunit ribosomal RNA", at positions 524 to 722 of the family's 1533-position model. The record is from RNAcentral.
UACGUAGGGUGCGAGCGUUGUCCGGAAUUAUUGGGCGUAAAGAGCUUGUAGGCGGUUUGUCGCGUCUGCUGUGAAAAUCCGGGGCUCAACCCCGGACUUGCAGUGGGUACGGGCAGACUAGAGUGUGGUAGGGGGAGACUGGAAUUCCUGGUGUAGCGGUGGAAUGCACAGAUAUCAGGAGGAACGACCGGUGGCGAAGGC